CUACGGGGGGCAGCAGUGAGGAAUAUUGCGCAAUGGGGGAAACCCUGACGCAGCGACGCCGCGUGGAUGAUGAAGGCCUUCGGGUCGUAAAAUCCUGUCAGAUGGGAAGAAAUGUUUAUAUGCUAAUAUCAUAUAGAUUUGACGGUACCAUCAAAGGAAGCACCGGCUAACUCCGUGCCAGCAGCCGCGGUAAUACGGAGGGUGCGUGCGUUGUUCGGAAUUACUGGGCGUAAAGCGCGCGUAGGCGGUUAUUUAAGUCAGAUGUGAAAGCCCAUGGCUCAACCAUGGACGUGCAUUUGAUACUGAGUAACUUGAGUACUGGAGGGGGUGGUGGAAUUCCCGGUGUAGAGGUGAAAUUCGUAGAUAUCGGGAGGAAUACCGGUGGCGAAGGCGACCACCUGGCCAGAUACUGACGCUGAGGUGCGAAAGCGUGGGGAGCAAACAGGAUUAGAUACCCUUGUAGUC
This 465-nucleotide ribosomal RNA is filed under the name uncultured bacterium. RNAcentral describes it as "partial 16S ribosomal RNA". It matches the Rfam family "Bacterial small subunit ribosomal RNA", at positions 339 to 795 of the family's 1533-position model. The record is from RNAcentral.